RNAcentral lists this ribosomal RNA (253 nucleotides) under uncultured bacterium. Its description in RNAcentral is "partial 16S ribosomal RNA". It matches the Rfam family "Bacterial small subunit ribosomal RNA", at positions 524 to 776 of the family's 1533-position model. The record is from RNAcentral.
GACAGAGGGUGCAAACGUUGUUCGGAAUUACUGGGCGUAAAGCGCGUGUAGGCGGCUCGGAAAGUCGGAUGUGAAAGCCCAGGGCUCAACCCUGGAAGUGCACUCGAAACUCCCGAGCUGGAGUCCCGGAGAGGAAGGCGGAAUUCUCGGUGUAGAGGUGAAAUUCGUAGAUAUCGAGAGGAACACCUGUGGCGAAGGCGGCCUUCUGGACGGUGACUGACGCUGAGGUGCGAAAGCGUGGGGAGCAAACAGG